Molecule: unclassified non-coding RNA, 235 nt
Filed under: Hevea brasiliensis (rubber tree)
Lineage: Eukaryota; Viridiplantae; Streptophyta; Magnoliopsida; Malpighiales; Euphorbiaceae
Source: RNAcentral
GGGCAGUAGUUUCUAAUGUCACAGCAGAAGCACAAAAAGGUUGGAGGAGAUGUCCUUUGGACCAACUGAAGCUACUCGACUUCAUAACUCAUCAUGGUAGUAGUCAUCGAGGUCAUGCCGAUCCCUUCGAUAAUGCCUCCUCCUAUCUCUAUGACGAUGGUCUCGCUCCCUUCUUCUCCUUUCACCUUCCUCGCGAGCCCUUUCAGCCUCCUUUUCUUCCCUAGCCUUCCUUUCU